GGUCGCGUAGCUCAGCUGGAUAGAGCAUCUGGUUUCUAACCAGACGGUCAUAGGUUCGAAUCCUAUCGCGAUCACCA
This 77-nucleotide transfer RNA is filed under the name Flavobacteriaceae bacterium. RNAcentral's name for it is "tRNA-Arg". It matches the Rfam family "tRNA". From Rfam's summary of the family: Transfer RNA (tRNA) molecules are approximately 80 nucleotides in length. Their secondary structure includes four short double-helical elements and three loops (D, anti-codon, and T loops). RNAcentral also lists the same sequence under 1 other name. The record is from RNAcentral. Lineage: Bacteria; Pseudomonadati; Bacteroidota; Flavobacteriia; Flavobacteriales; Flavobacteriaceae.